This 710-nucleotide ribosomal RNA is filed under the name uncultured anaerobic ammonium-oxidizing bacterium. RNAcentral describes it as "bacterial SSU rRNA". It matches the Rfam family "Bacterial small subunit ribosomal RNA", at positions 358 to 1051 of the family's 1533-position model. The record is from RNAcentral.
AGAAUCUUUCGCAAUGCCCGAAAGGGUGACGAAGCGACGCCGCGUGUGGGAAGAAGGCCUUCGGGUUGUAAACCACUGUCGGGAGUUAAGAAAUGCAAGGAUAUUAAUAGUGUCUUUGCUUGACUAAGGCUCCGGAGGAAGCCACGGCUAACUCUGUGCCAGCAGCCGCGGUAAUACAGAGGCGGCAAGCGUUGUUCGGAAUUAUUGGGCGUAAAGAGCACGUAGGCGGCUAUGUAAGUCGGUUGUGAAAGCCUUCCGCUCAACGGGAGAACAGCAUCCGAUACUACAUGGCCUGAGUGCGGGAGGGGAGAGUGGAACUUCUGGUGGAGCGGUGAAAUGCGUAGAUAUCAGAAGGAACGCCGGCGGCGAAAGCGGCUCUCUGGCCCAUAACUGACGCUGAGUGUGCGAAAGCUAGGGGAGCAAACGGGAUUAGAUACCCCGGUAGUCCUAGCCGUAAACGAUGGGCACUAAGUAGAGGGGUUUUGAUUAUCUCUCUGCCGGAGCUAACGCAUUAAGUGCCCCGCCUGGGGAGUACGGCCGCAAGGCUAAAACUCAAAAGAAUUGACGGGGGCUCGCACAAGCGGUGGAGCAUGUGGCUUAAUUCGAUGCAACGCGAAGAACCUUACCGGGGUUUGACAUGGUAGAAGUAGAAGCCUGAAAGGGUGACGAACGGUAUCCAGUCCGUAGCUAUCACAGGUGUUGCAUGGCUG